UCUAGUCGGAUUCGUUGCCACUGAGCGGCGACAGGAACUCCUCUUAGAGCACCCUGUUGCCCUGGUGGAGGGUCGUGGUACUCACGAAAGUCAGCGUGAUCAGAGAUCCCAAGAAGCAGGUGAUGACCACGCCGAGCGCAAGCCACUCCCGGCGCUUGGACCAGAAGUGUGGAAACUCAUCCAGCACAGCGGUGAUCACCCCCUCCAAGCCUGCGAACUGAGAGGGGCACACAGAGACGUCACUGUGGACUUUGGAACAAAUCUGCUACCUCUAGGACAGUGAACAGAGGGAGGGGUUAAAAUUGCCAAGUGACCUGUCAAGCUCAUCACGACCCAGCCCUCACUGGAAGUAAAUUUCCACGUGACCCCAUCAUUUAGAACUCACCCCUAAGGACAUCAAGGGAAGAAAGCAGAGCAUGUGGACAGGACUUCUUUACAUGAGGUCUCUUGGGGAGACUUUGGUUGUGCCAGAAAUGCCAACUCAAAACUGGAACUCUUUCCACACUAAUGAGGUGAAGGCUGGGCAGCAGGGCACUAAGACACAAGCGUGACCUUGCCCUGGCCUUUGGGUGGUGCCAGUCUGGUCAGGGGACAGUGCACACUAACAGCGGAUCGCCUGUGCUGAGCUCUUGGCCUGGGCCAGGCGCUUUGCCCCCAUUGUCUCAUUAAGGACCCGCUAUUGUCCUAGAGAACAGUAAGCGCCCAAAGGCACAGGGGCUGGGGCAGCUCGGGGAGGGAGCAGCCAUCACCACCUUCGGGACCAGGAUGGAAGGGGCGGGCUGCAGCCGCCUCUUCCUCUCCCUGCACUUCCCACCCCUCCUCCUCCCCCUCCUGCUCGCAGCUCUCCCUCCGACGUCACUUACCGUGCUGUCUAAGCCCAGGGUGAUCAACAUCAGGAAGAAGAUGAUGGCAAAGAAGGUGGACGCGGGCAUGUUGGCGAUGGCCUCUGCGUAGGUGAUGAAGAGGAGGCUGGGGCCUGAGACAGAGACAGAGAGGGGAGGACGUGGUGGCAGAGACCUGCCCUGCAAAGCAGUCUCGGGGGACACGCGGCCACAGCAACAAUGACAAUUCCUGUCGCAAGAGCUUCCUGUGACGCCGGCCUGGACAGCCAUAUAUCCGAGCACGGUGAAGAUGACAAAUCCUGAAACGAAGCUCGUCAUGCAGUUCACCACACUGGUCACCAAGGCGUCUCUGGAGCAGAAAACCCAAGGGGACUGAGACAUUUCCAAGCUGGGAGUCUAGGGAGCAUCUGUCUGCAGCCAUGUCAAGGCUAGCAAAAGCCAGCAGGACUCCAAAGCCAGGCCCAAGAGAGAAGAAGAUCUGAGCAGCUGCAUCCACCCACACCUGCAGCAGAGCAGAGAUGCUAAAGUAGAUAAUGGUGAAGAUCAGCAUGAUGCAGAGGGCAAGCUGCCAGCUGAUGCCCCCCAGGUCCUGGAGUCCCUUGGACCGGUGGAUCUGUAGGACGUGGCGUCUGAGUGAAUGAGAAAGAAAGGCCCGUGACCUGGUCUGAACGGUCCCCUGCACAUGAUGGUGCGACACCUCUGAGAGGACACCAAGAAGAAAAAUGGUCAUCACACUGCAAGGACCAGGUGGUCACCAAGCCUCGGGAAGAGCUGGGAGGGGCUCUGCAUGCUCUGAAGCAGAGAAAAAGCACUCAAGCCAGUGGACCCUGGGAAGAGUGCUCGGCCCCAAGGCCGACCCAGCCAACCCAGAAACAUGGCUGGCUUUUGGGUUCAUGAGGAUUUGUAUGUGUGGGCAGUGGGCCCCUUCUCCAUCCCCAAGCCGCUCUCUUCGGGCUGCCGUUGCCUGAAAUUCCACCAUUCAAGAAAACUACCUACCCUGGGCGUCUUCUUUCACAGGAUAGAUAGAGCUCACGUAUGAAGUGAAAACAUGAAACCAGAAACUUUUGAGUCAUUUCAAACUAUUGAAGUAGAGGGAGGCUCUGCUCCCAUGACAACUGGCUGAGAGGAGGGCCCAGGAGGAAGGGUGGUUCCAAAGCAGGGGGGUACUUUUGGAAUGUGAAGGCAGGGACUGGCCUGGGCGCAUCAGAAAAGAAGGGGACGGCACAGAGCCCCAGACUGCAGACCCUCACGGUAGAGUCUCCCAGCUCCCUCCCUCACAUUCACCCCCCUCCCCACAGCAAAACCCAUCAGCCAAGAGCUAAGAGCCUCGGGCCCCCGCCUCCCUCCUAAGAAGCCAAACCCCAGGGGUGUGGUCUGCCCCUAACAGGCCACCCCCUCACUUACAUGCACUUACGUGUAAAAUUCUUCUGCAGGGGACGUUGAG
Molecule: long non-coding RNA, 2286 nt
Organism: Phacochoerus africanus (Common warthog)
Lineage: Eukaryota; Metazoa; Chordata; Mammalia; Artiodactyla; Suidae
Exons: 4
Source: RefSeq, a predicted model, not a curated record